Mercurialis annua (annual mercury) is the source of this 1125-nucleotide long non-coding RNA. RefSeq lists it as uncharacterized. The transcript is spliced from 2 exons. Lineage: Eukaryota; Viridiplantae; Streptophyta; Magnoliopsida; Malpighiales; Euphorbiaceae. The record is from RefSeq and is a predicted model, not a curated record.
UAUACUUAUAUAAUUGAGAGGACCAACGGAGGCCUCUCAUUGAUUCUCAACAAAUAGAGCUCUCUUAUUAAUUCUCAGCAAAUAGAGCUCUCUCAUAGUUUCCAACCUUUUAAAAACACUUAUUUUAAUUAAAUUUUAAAUUUGUAGAGUAACAUUCCUAAAUUAAAUCAACUUCUUUAGAAGAACAAUACAUCAAACUUUUCCUCUCCUCCUAUCCACAUCUUAUUCGUUCCCUUUUCUCCUAUUAACAUCUUAUUCAUUAUGAUUUCAACAUCAAAUUACUGUUUCACGUUUCAUCAACUUCUUAAUCUGAUUUACAAACAAAAUUUCUUAAUCUAUUCCUAUUAGGGCAUUAAUGACUAUUUUUGCUUUGAUAUUUUCCCAUGAUAAAUAGAAACCAAUUGAAAUCCAGAAAUAGUUUAUACGAGGUUUGAAACCAGCAGCAAUAAGCCAUAGACGAGGUCGAUCUGAUGUUAAAUUUGUUAUGUUACUACUAAUUGCACCAGGGUACAAGUGCAACCAGUUCUCUAAUGGCAAAAAGUAAAAGAUAAGUCCAUUUUUCUAUGAUUUAUUAGUAUAAUAAGGUUCAUGAUUGAUUUUUUCUAUUUUUUUGUGAUAUUAAAUUAAAUUACUUUUCAUGUUAAACUUGACUAGCAAACUUAACUUCAAGUUAACCAUAUUUGAUAAAUAUAAAGGUUAAGUUUUGAUGGCAAACUGGGAUAUCUCUAAUAAAACAGUAAUAUUUCCACCAUUUUUCUAUGAUACUUUUAUUAUAGUGGUUUAAAAAUUAUGUCCGCUAAUGAUGGAUGUGUAUAAAUUAUGAGGUACUUUGAGUUGAAACUGAUUAUUAUCCCGUUCCAAUUUUGAGAUAUCCGCCAAUGUUUUUCGGUGUUUUUUUAAGUGGAGCUCAUAUAAAAUUUGUUUGUUUUACAUAGGUGAAUUCCAUAACCUGCCAUAUCCUCCCCAAUUGUUAAGCAUGAGAGAAUCGAGUCGGGUUGCGGGUUUGAAUUUGGCAUCUGGAUCUUCUGACAUUCUUCCUCAAAUUGAAUGUCAUUUGGUACGAUAUAAUUUAUUUAAAUUAAAUGUAAUCCUGAAUUUAAAAUUUGGAUGUUGGCCUGUUGGAAA